This is a long non-coding RNA of Lepus europaeus (European hare), 900 nucleotides long. RefSeq lists it as uncharacterized. The record is from RefSeq and is a predicted model, not a curated record. The transcript is spliced from 4 exons. NCBI's taxonomy places the organism in Eukaryota, Metazoa, Chordata, Mammalia, Lagomorpha, Leporidae.
GAAACGGGGACCCAGCCUUUCUCCUCGGCGCUCCGCCCAGACGCUCGCGCUCCGCCCGCACCUGGCGACGAGCUCACAGGACCCUGGAGAUACAGAAUGGAAUGGCUUCCAGCCUCUGAAUGACACCUGGAUCCUGUAUAAAAACCACCUGCAGCAACACCAAAGGCUUAUGCAUCACUUCAUGUUCAGUUAAGGGACUUAAAACCAGGCAGACUACAUACAAGGAAGAAAGAUGAGGUUUUAUAGCCCAAGUUGGCAGGUGUGGGAGCUCUUUGGAGACUGUUCAGAGGUACUCUGACCCCCAUGGAUCUAAGGAAGACCUCUUGGGUGACCAUGGAAUCUUUGUGAUUGUCCUUGGACCUUGGUAUUCCUUGAACAUGCAUACCUUUCCCAUCGUGAGGGACAUGGAUCGGGCAGUGCGAGGGACCCCGUCUUCUGCAGCAGGAGGGAACAAAGAAGAGAAUUCAGGGAGAGACUUGUGGACCCGCAGUUUGCGCAGCAGCACGUCAGAAAUAUUGGGCAUCACAUCCAGGCCGCUCUUCGACUCUUCCUCCUCACUAGCUGGGGAGAGCUCGGAAGGGGGCCCUAGAGGGGGAAAAAAGCGUUGACUUUUUAUAAAAGGAUCGGCAUGCAAGAAGAUGGGAGCCGGCGCUGGGGAUUUCUGACACAAGCGGUAACAGAACGGGAAAGGAAGCAGAUGGAGUGGGCCAGCCAGCCGUGUGCAGAGGAGACGCGGAACGUCUCUGGAGAAGCAUGCUCUCCGUCCCACCCGCCAACAUGCUGACGCGAGGAGAAACUGCCCAGGCUGCCAUUCUGCCUUUCUUACCGAGGAAGAGGGGCGGGGGAGGCAGAACAAUGGCACUAUCAGGGCUGAUAACCUCAAACAAUGUGGAGGGAUUU